AUGGUUACUAUCCAUAGAGCGCCGGCCGUUCACUCGCAGAGAGCUGUCUCCCUGUCUUUUGUAUCACCGUGGUACACGUUCGGUGGAGGAACCAGACUGGAUGUUGGAAGUGAUGUCCGUCCCACCCUGACGGUGCUGCCCCCCUCCAGUGAGGAGCUGCAGCAGGGGAAGGCCACGCUCAUGUGCCUGGCCAACAAGGGCUUCCCCUCAGACUGGAGUCUGGCCUGGAAGGUGGACGGCAGCAGCAGCAGCAGCAGCUGGGAGGAGAGCAGGAGCCCCGGGGUGCUGGAGAAGGACGGCCGCUACAGCUGGAGCAGCACCCUGAGGCUCCCUGCAGACCAGUGGAGGAAGGUGGGCUCUGUGACCUGUGAGGCCACCCAGGGCUCCCAGGCUCUGGUCUCAGAGACACUGAGGAGAGACCAGUGUUCCCAGUCCUGACCUCACUGGGACUCUGCUACUGUUCUCUGAAAUCUGUAACACCCUCUCUCUGUGUCUCUACUUUCCCCUCAGUCACUCUCUAAUUGUGUUUUUCAAUUGCAAGUUUAUUUUCCUUGAUGUAAUUUUGAUUAUUUCUACACAAUUAAAAUCAGUUCAUCACAA
Molecule: non-coding RNA, 600 nt
Organism: Micropterus salmoides (largemouth bass)
Lineage: Eukaryota; Metazoa; Chordata; Actinopteri; Centrarchiformes; Centrarchidae
Source: the annotation of a RefSeq genome assembly